RNAcentral lists this transfer RNA (74 nucleotides) under Desulfobulbaceae bacterium. It matches the Rfam family "tRNA". Rfam says of the family: Transfer RNA (tRNA) molecules are approximately 80 nucleotides in length. Lineage: Bacteria; Pseudomonadati; Thermodesulfobacteriota; Desulfobulbia; Desulfobulbales; Desulfobulbaceae. The record is from Rfam by way of RNAcentral.
GGGCCCUUAGCUUAGUUUGGUAGAGCGCCAGAUUUGCAUUCUGGAGGUCAACGGUUCGAUCCCGUUAGGGUCCA